AUUAUGAAAGUCAUGAUAAAAAGUAAAAUCGGUAAUAUAAAUACAUGAGGAUUCUCGUUACUAAAUUUUUAAAGAAGAAAUGUAAAUUACUGAUGGUUUACAGCUUUCAUUCACUUGUAAAAACACGUGUUAGAGAUAUAUAUUACAGAAAGACAUGUGUCUUGUUCUCUUAUAAAAUAGGGAUUAUAUUAGAAUAAAUGUAAUUAAAAAUGGUUUACAGCUACCGGUCACCUAUAGAAACACGUGUCUUGUUUCUCUAAUAUAUCUCACGGAAAUAUCUUUUUUUUCUCAUAUCUCUUCAUCCUUUUCUCUAUCUUUCUGCAACUCCAAACCUCUUGAACAUUUCAAAACUUGAAUUGGUUUUGUGGCAAGUUGAAAAGAAAAUAAACCAGGACGACCAAGAGGAAAAAAGGUAACUAAUUCUCUUUAUAACCUCUUAUAAAACGUUCUUUUUAACUCUGUUUCUUUCAUUCUAUUUCUUACAAGAGAAAUGUUUCUUGGAGAUGAGAAAAAUGGCCAAAACAGAAAAGGCAUCUAAAGCGAUUUCUGAUAUUAGCCUCGAAGUUGAUAGGCUCGGAGGACGUGUUUCGGCGUUUGAGAUGGUUAUUAAAAAAGGAGGGAAAGUUGCAGAGAAAGAUCUUGCAAAGGUGAUUGAGUUGUUGAUGAAUGAGUUGAUCAAGCUGGAUGGGAUUGUAGCUGAAGGAGAUGUGAAGUUACAAAGAAAGAUGCAGGUGAAGAGAGUGCAGAACAAUAUGGAAGCACUUGAUGUUUUGAAGGUGAAGAACUCUAUUGCCAAUGGGCAGCAGAAACAGUCUAGUAGUCAGAGACUUGCAACAAUUCAAAAACGUAGGCAAGAAAAGAAACCGACACAAUCGCUUAUGGACAUGGGAAAAAAGAAGAAAUCUGUAAAUGCGUUGCCCAUUGCCAAAGGUUGUGAAGUAGAAGUCACUUCAGAAAAAGAAAUGUUCAAAGUUUCUUGGCAUAUAGCUAUCCUGCAGCAAAGUCCGAUGAAAGUGAAAGGGGAAAGCUUCGGGUCUGCUAUACAACUUUGCUGGACAAGGAUAGUUUAACUCCUUACACAGAAAAAGUUGAUCAAAGCCUCAUCCGUCCGGUUCAGCCAGGGGAUCUGAAUAACGAUUUCGUAUAUGAGAGAGGAUCGGUGGUGGAUGUUUAUGUUAAUGGUGGAUGGUGGAAGUGUGUUAUUGUAAAGGAAUUUCCAAAUGAGAAGUUUUGGGUUUACUUGGAUUUUCUACCAGAAGUAUUAAAAUUCGACAAAAGCCGACUGAGACCUAAUGUUGAUUGGACCGGCUCUACAUGGGUCAAAAGCCAAAAAAGGAACUUAGUGAAGACAUUUAUAGCCCAGGGGAAAAAGUGGAAAUGACUCGUAGAAUCCGUAAAAUGGAAGAUAUCUGGGUCACAACAAUGGCCAUUAAACAGAUUGAAGAGGAUGGUAAAAGAAAAGUUAUCAUCAAAAGAUUAUCCGAGUCACUGCGUUUGAGUGAUGAUGAUGAAGACGAUGCAUUGUUUAAAAAAGUUGAUAUUUGCAAACUCAGGCCAUGUCCGCCUCGUUAUUUUUGGGGAAAGUAUAUAUUGGGAGACAUUGUUGAAGUGUUUGUUAGCUGUGGAUGGCGUCUAGGUGAAGUGAGGGAAGUUCUCCCUGGUAACCAGUACUCAGUGCACUUCAAGAUCGCAAAAGAGGAGGCGGUUUUUAAAAGCUAUUCACUUAGACCGUCACGGGAGUGGAAAAAUGGUCGUUGGAUACUUACAAGAGAGAUAGAAUCUGUAGAAGAAACUCAUUCAAGCAAAUCGAAAAAUGAUUUGAUGAACACUGAGGAAGAUUUGAUGAAUGAUGCUCGCACUCCAACCAUUGCUUUAGAGUCCAAUGAAGAUGAUAUGAUGAACGAUGAUGCAACCGAAAUCAUAACCCCUGAAGAAAGUUACAGUAACACCCCUGUUUUAGAAGCCACUGAAAAUGAAACCCAAAUAUUUGAAUUGGAGUUACCAUUAUCUCAUGAAUCAGGUGACACAGUGAAUGAUGUUGCCUCCCCAAUCAUUGACCAUCAAGAGAUACCAACAGGUGAAACAAUGAGUACUUCUGAUGAUAAGAUUGUAUUGCCGAAAAGAGUGAUCGAAGCUGGUACAGAGGUACGCUUUUUGGAUAGAAUUACCAAGCGUAGUAACCUGAAGUUGGUCGAUAAAGUUAAAAAGUUUUUGGGCCCUGAAUUCAGAAAGCUUGAAGAUUCAUUCUUGGGUCCUAUAAUUGAGAUGGGAAGGAGGCAGAAAAAUAUGGUGUUUUCAAGGCAUUUGAUUCAUCUCUUACUUUUAAGGAGAAUUGAUAUAGGAGACAAGGGUCUAUGGUUUUCUUUCGGAGAACAACCAAUGAGGUUUUCCCUAAGAGAAUUCCAUUUGGCAACGGGUCUGCCUUGUAUUGCUGACAUAGAUGAAGAGCAAGUGGAGACUUCUGGAAGGAAAAAGAAGAAGAAGAAAGAUCCAUGGAUGAAUAAGGAACAAACUUUAAACAGCUUGGUUAAACUACUUGAGAAGAACAGUAAAGGGUUUACUGAUGAUCAGAGAUUGAGAUUGGGGGCUUCAAUCCUUGUUGAAGGGAUAUUAAUGGCAAUCAAUCCAGUGACUCGUAUAGCCGUUGAGAAUCUGCUGAGAGCUAGAGAUUUCAAAGAGUUUUGCAACUAUCCAUGGGGGAAUUUGGCCUUUAAUUUCUUACGCAAUGAAGUGAAGGGUAUUAGCUCUGAAGUGUUGAAGAAAGAUCAAUUUGACAUCUGUGGAUUUAUAUUUGCUGUUCAGCUAUGGGCAUUAUCAUCUGUUGAUCAAAUAGGCACAUUCUUUGGGAUUAGGGAUAAUGAGAUUAAGUUUCCCUUGUGCUUGCAUUGGAUAGAAACCAAAUCCCUUACUAUGAAAGAGGUGACCAGAUUCGACAACAGUGAGAAGGUUGAUGUCAAUGUAUACUUGGAGAUCCUGAAAUACACUGCGACUUGGUUGAAGACGUUGACAUUGAAUUUGGAAAAGUUAUUGAUCUUGUCAGAAGAGGAUACCGUCUGAAGAGACAAGAUUGGCUUAAUGGAAGUGUCAACAUUGCUGUCGCUGAAGCUGAAGUGGAGAAAAACAAUUAUGAUGGUUGGACUAAUGCAACUGAUAAAGAAAAGAUUGAAUUCCUCACUAAGCAGGCAGAGUUUUAUAAAGAAAGACCUGGUUAUCUUGAAGGUCUUCUGAACAUUCGUCGAGAAAACGAGAAGGUAAACUAUUCACAUAUAAAUUUUCAGGAAAAUGGACAGAAUUCCGAGAGGGAAUUGGGUGAAGAAGAAACGUUCCAGUCUUUCAUAGAUUCCCGAAAGCAGCAAAACACUAAGGUUGGAGAAUUUAAUGAAAAUGCAUCUAAAGAGUCCGUGAUAGUUAAAAAGAAGAAACGAGCAAGAGAAAAUAAGGAAGCUGAAGCCAUCACCUCCAAAACAAAGAAAACUAAAACGAUCUGGGGUUCUAGUUGAUGUUGUGAUAUAAAGAGUAUUGGAAGAAAUGAUGCUCUUUUAGUUUCCAAUAUUUUUUUAAUCCAAAAUCAGUGUUUCAAUUUUUCAAAAUGUUAUCUUUUGUUGAUGCCUUUGAUGAGAAACAUCUUUUGCAUUGUAAGGGCUUAUAAAGCUAUCCAAAAUAACUUAUAACCCAUUAUAAAAAAUGUAUUUAUCAUCUUUAUUAAAAA
Raphanus sativus (radish) is the source of this 3709-nucleotide RNA transcript. It is a transcript of the gene named DUF724 domain-containing protein 1-like, with no coding region annotated. The transcript is spliced from 10 exons. The record is from RefSeq and is a predicted model, not a curated record. NCBI's taxonomy places the organism in Eukaryota, Viridiplantae, Streptophyta, Magnoliopsida, Brassicales, Brassicaceae.